Caretta caretta (loggerhead turtle) is the source of this 730-nucleotide long non-coding RNA. RefSeq lists it as uncharacterized. Lineage: Eukaryota; Metazoa; Chordata; Testudines; Cheloniidae. The record is from RefSeq and is a predicted model, not a curated record.
GGGAAGCAGCCGGCGCUGGGCGGGGUUUGCGAGUGCGCGCCCUGCCCUCCCGGUCUGGCGGCCCCGCUUCCUUCCUUUCCUCUCUCGGCCGGCGCUGGUUAAGGGUGCUGCGCACGGGGCUUCCAAGCUAUGCGGCAUGGUAGCGGCCGGCCUGGGCCCGGAGCUGCCGCCCCGUUGGGGGAGAAACUCAGUAUGUGACCCCCGGACGUGGGGUGGAGGGUGAAGGCGAGGCUGGGCUGAGCAGCGGGGUGCAGAGCCCUCCUACGCCGGGCCGGGGAAGAUAGUGAAAAUCUGAAAAGGGCAAGAAAAGCAAGCAUGCAAAAGCAGAAACUUGCUUCUUCCUCUGAGAGGUAUCAUAACUGGUCUGCAGCUUGUGCAUCCAUAAGGGGAACAAUGUAAACCAAGAGUCUCAGGGGAGCAAAGAGCUUUCUGCAAAAUUAAGACUUGACAGUUACAGAUAAAAGCCUUCUCGGUUGGACUGAUUAUUGCAGGAGUGAGGCUAGUGGGGGCAGCAGUAGUUGCCUGAAGAGAAGAGAGGAACUGUUGCUGUUGCUUUAAAGCAGGGGUCGGCAACCUUUCAGAAGUGGUGUGCAGAGUCUUCAUUUAUUCACUUUAAGGUUUCGCGUGCCAGUAAUGCAUUUUAACGUUUUUUAGACGUUCUCUUUCUCUGAGUCUAUAUAUUAUAUAACUAACUAUUGUUGUAUGUGAAGUAAACAUUUUGAAAAACUUG